RNAcentral lists this transfer RNA (82 nucleotides) under Echinostoma caproni. It matches the Rfam family "tRNA". Rfam says of the family: Transfer RNA (tRNA) molecules are approximately 80 nucleotides in length. Their secondary structure includes four short double-helical elements and three loops (D, anti-codon, and T loops). The record is from Rfam by way of RNAcentral. Lineage: Eukaryota; Metazoa; Platyhelminthes; Trematoda; Plagiorchiida; Echinostomatidae.
GGCCUCGGAGCUCAGUUGGUAAAGCCUGCGCGUACAAAGCGUAGGCGGCGUCCAUGCGUGGGUUCGAAUCCCACCGAAACUA